This 540-nucleotide long non-coding RNA is filed under the name Homo sapiens (human). RNAcentral's name for it is "non-protein coding lnc-MRPL39-27:1". The record is from RNAcentral. Lineage: Eukaryota; Metazoa; Chordata; Mammalia; Primates; Hominidae.
UAUGUACAAUUAGAGAGACACUUUUUACAAAAUGGAAAACUAUUAGAUGCUCCACAUAUGGCAGGUAAACUGUCUCUUGUCACGCCUGUAAACCCAGCACUUUGGGAGGCCAAGAUGGGCAGAUCACGAGGUCAGGAGAUUGAGACCAUCCUGGCUAACAAGGCGAAACCCCGUCUCUACUAAAAAUACAAAAAUUAGCCAGGCGUCCUGGCUGGCGCCUGUAGUCCCAGCUACUCGGGGGGCCUGAGGCAGGAGAAUGGCAUGAACCCGGGAGGCGGAGCUUGCAGUGAGCCGAGAUGGCGCCACUGCACUCCAGCCUGGGCGAUAGAGUGAGACUCCGUCUCAAAAAAAAAAAAAAAAAAAAAAAAAAGGAAGGUGAUGCAAUCACAGAUGAUUUCUCAUACAAAUGCGAGAAUGACUCAGGCAGAGGGACCUACCUCGCAGCGAAUCAUUCCUAAGGAACAUACUUGGGUCCCAAUCAAGGAACUGUCAACGUGACUGGCUGGAUUUCAAAGUUGCUAUGAACCUGUGAAUUCUAUG